This 390-nucleotide unclassified non-coding RNA is filed under the name soil metagenome. RNAcentral describes it as "partial contains 5.8S ribosomal RNA, internal transcribed spacer 2, and large subunit ribosomal RNA". The stretch from base 1 to 122 matches the Rfam family "5.8S ribosomal RNA", at positions 35 to 154 of the family's 154-position model. The record is from RNAcentral.
GAUGAAGAACGCAGCGAAAUGCGAUACUUGGUGUGAAUUGCAGAAUCCCGUGAACCAUCGAGUCUUUGAACGCAAGUUGCGCCCGAAGCCAUUAGGCCGAGGGCACGCCUGCCUGGGCGUCACACGUCGUUGCCCCCCCAUCUACUCCUUCGGGAUUGCGGGGGGCGGAUGAUGGCCUCCCGUGCGCCUUGUCGCGCGGUUGGCAUAAAUGCCAAGUCCUCGGCGACGCACGCCACGACAAUCGGUGGUUGCGAAACCUCGGUUGCCCGUCGUGUGCGGUCGUCGCGCAUCGAGGGCUCGAAAAAAUUGCCGGGUUCCGGCUCGGCUUUCAACGCGACCCCAGGUCAGGCGGGGUUACCCGCUGAAUUUAAGCAUAUCAUAAGCGGAGGA